GGAAGGAAACAGUAACCUCAAGGCUAAGGAGCCGCUUCUUCAAUGCACUCGUGCAUACAGAGAGGUUGCUUCCAUGUCUUUUUUUUUCUUGUUUUUUUAAAUAAGAAAACCAAGACUACUUAUUGUUUGGUCCCUAACAAAGGAUCUUAGAUCUUAAGGUUAGUACCUCACAUUGCUUAUUUCUUGUUCAUUGAAUUGGCAUACUUUACUAAUUAUAGUUUCUAUUUUUAUUUGAAAUAAUCAAUGUA
Arachis ipaensis is the source of this 248-nucleotide non-coding RNA. NCBI's taxonomy places the organism in Eukaryota, Viridiplantae, Streptophyta, Magnoliopsida, Fabales, Fabaceae. The record is from RefSeq and is a predicted model, not a curated record.